This 91-nucleotide transfer RNA is filed under the name Alphaproteobacteria bacterium. RNAcentral describes it as "tRNA-Ser". It matches the Rfam family "tRNA". Rfam says of the family: Transfer RNA (tRNA) molecules are approximately 80 nucleotides in length. Lineage: Bacteria; Pseudomonadati; Pseudomonadota; Alphaproteobacteria. RNAcentral also lists the same sequence under 9 other names. The record is from RNAcentral.
GGAGAGAUGGCCGAGCGGUCGAAGGCGCACGCCUGGAAAGUGUGUAUACCUCAAAAGGGUAUCGUGGGUUCGAAUCCCACUCUCUCCGCCA